RNAcentral lists this ribosomal RNA (1961 nucleotides) under Clostridioides difficile. RNAcentral's name for it is "partial 23S ribosomal RNA". It matches the Rfam family "Bacterial large subunit ribosomal RNA", at positions 725 to 2703 of the family's 2925-position model. The record is from RNAcentral. Lineage: Bacteria; Bacillati; Bacillota; Clostridia; Peptostreptococcales; Peptostreptococcaceae.
GCGACCUACCCAUGAGCAGGAUGAAGCGAAAGUAAAAUUUCGUGGAGGUCCGAACCCACGAGCGUUGAAAAGCUCGGGGAUGACUUGUGGGUAGCGGUGAAAUUCCAAUCGAGCCCGGAGAUAGCUGGUUCUCCCCGAAAUAGCUUUAGGGCUAGCCUCAAGGUGAGAGAUACGGAGGUAGAGCACUGAAUGUCCUAGGGGGUAUUGCACCUACCGAAGACUAUCAAACUCCGAAUGCCGUCAUCUUAUACUUGGGAGUCAGACUGUGGGUGAUAAGAUUCAUAGUCGAAAGGGCAACAGCCCAGAUCGUCAGCUAAGGUCCCUAAAUGUAAGUUAAGUGGUAAAGGAUGUGGGAUUGCACAGACAACCAGGAUGUUGGCUUAGAAGCAGCCACUCAUUCAAAGAGUGCGUAAUAGCUCACUGGUCGAGUGAUCCUGCGCCGAAGAUUUCCGGGGCUAAAACUUACUACCGAAGCUACGGCAUCAGUAAUGAUGGGUAGGGGAGCUUCCCAUACGGGUUGAAGCAUGACCGUAAGGACAUGUGGACAGUAUGGGAGUGAGAAUGUUGGCAUGAGUAGCGAGAUGUGGGUGAGAAUCCCACAGGCCGUAAACCCAAGGUUUCCAGGGGAAGGUUCGUCCGCCCUGGGUUAGUCGGGACCUAAGCUGAGGCCGAAAGGCGUAGGUGAUGGACAACAGGUUGAUAUUCCUGUACUACCGAUAACCAUUUGAGAGAAGGGAUGACACAGUAGGAUAAGCUAAGCACACUGUUGGUUAUGUGUGCCCAAGCAUUGAGGCAGUCAAAGUAGGCAAAUCCGCUUUGAUAAUGCUGGGAUGUGAUGGGGAGCGAAAUUUAGUAGCGAAGUAGCUGAUUUCACACUGUCAAGAAAAGUCUCUAUCGAGGUUAAAGGUACCCGUACCGCAAACCGACACAGGUGGGUGAGGAGAGUAUCCUAAGGCCAGCGAGAGAACUGUUGUUAAGGAACUCGGCAAAAUGACCCCGUAACUUAGGGAUAAGGGGUGCCACCAUCAGGUGGCCGCAGAGAAUAGGCCCAAGCGACUGUUUACCAAAAACAUAGGUUUCUGCUAAGUCGCAAGACGAUGUAUAGGAGCUGACGCCUGCCCGGUGCUGGAAGGUUAAGGGGAUCUGUUAGAGCAAUCGAAGCAGUGAACUUAAGCCCCAGUAAACGGCGGCCGUAACUAUAACGGUCCUAAGGUAGCGAAAUUCCUUGUCGGGUAAGUUCCGACCCGCACGAAAGGCGUAACGAUUUGGGCACUGUCUCAACAACAGACUCGGUGAAAUUGUAAUUCCGGUGAAGAUGCCGGAUACCUGCGACAGGACGGAAAGACCCCAUGGAGCUUUACUGUAGCUUGACAUUGGGUCUUGGUACUACAUGUACAGGAUAGGUGGGAGGCUUUGAAACCAGGACGCCAGUUUUGGCGGAGCCAUCCUUGGGAUACCACCCUUGUAGUACUGGGACUCUAACCAUAGGCCAUGAAUCUGGUCUUGGGACACUGUCAGGUGGGCAGUUUGACUGGGGCGGUCGCCUCCCAAAAGGUAACGGAGGCGCUCAAAGGUUCUCUCAGUACGGUCGGAAAUCGUACGUAGAGUGUAAAGGCAAAAGAGAGCUUGAUUGCAAGACAUACAGGUCGAGCAAGGAUGAAAAUCGGACUUAGUGAUCCGGUGGUUCUGCGUGGAAGGGCCAUCGCUCAACGGAUAAAAGCUACCCUGGGGAUAACAGGCUUAUCUCCCCCAAGAGUCCACAUCGACGGGGAGGUUUGGCACCUCGAUGUCGGCUCAUCACAUCCUGGGGCUGUAGUAGGUCCCAAGGGUUGGGCUGUUCGCCCAUUAAAGUGGUACGCGAGCUGGGUUCAGAACGUCGUGAGACAGUUCGGUCCCUAUCCGUCGCAGGCGUAGGAAAUUUGAGAAGACCUGUCCUUAGUACGAGAGGACCGGGAUGGACG